GGCUGAAGUAGGUCCCAAGGGUAUGGCUGUUCGCCAUUUAAAGUGGUACGCGAGCUGGGUUUAGAACGUCGUGAGACAGUUCGGUCCCUAUCUGCCGUGGGCGCUGGAGAACUGAGGGGGGCUGCUCCUAGUACGAGAGGACCGGAGUGGACGCAUCACUGGUGUUCGGGUUGUCAUGCCAAUGGCACUGCCCGGUAGCUAAAUGCGGAAGAGAUAAGUGCUGAAAGCAUCUAAGCACGAAACUUGCCCCGAGAUGAGUUCUCCCUGAGACUUAGAGUCUCCUGAAGGAACGUUGAAGACGACGACGUUGAUAGGCCGGGUGUGUAAGCGCAGCGAUGCGUUGAGCUAACCGGUACUAAUGAACCGUGAGGCUUAACCUUACAACGCCGAAG
Molecule: ribosomal RNA, 392 nt
Filed under: Escherichia coli
Lineage: Bacteria; Pseudomonadati; Pseudomonadota; Gammaproteobacteria; Enterobacterales; Enterobacteriaceae
Also listed under: 1 other name
Description: partial 23S ribosomal RNA
Rfam family: Bacterial large subunit ribosomal RNA
Source: RNAcentral